Molecule: ribosomal RNA, 439 nt
Filed under: uncultured bacterium
Lineage: Bacteria
Description: partial 16S ribosomal RNA
Rfam family: Bacterial small subunit ribosomal RNA
Source: RNAcentral
CUACGGGCGGCUGCAGUGAGGAAUUUUGCGCAAUGGGGGGAACCCUGAUGCAGCAACGCCGCGUGGAGGAUGACGCAUUUCGGUGUGUAAACUCCUUUUAUAUGUCAAGAAAAUGACGGUAGCAUAUGAAUAAGCACCGGCUAACUCCGUGCCAGCAGCCGCGGUAAUACGGAGGGUGCAAGCGUUACUCGGAAUCACUGGGCGUAAAGGACGCGUAGGCGGGUUGGAAAGUCAGGUGUGAAAUCCUACAGCUUAACUGUAGAACUGCACUUGAAACUUCUAAUCUAGAGUAUGGGAGGGGGAGAUGGAAUUAGUGGUGUAGGGGUAAAAUCCGUAGAUAUCACUAGGAAUACCUAAAGCGAAGGCGAUCUCCUGGAACAUUACUGACGCUAAGGCGUGAAAGCGUGGGGAGCAAACAGGAUUAGAUACCCUCGUAGUC